AUUGAACGCUGGCGGCAGGCCUAACACAUGCAAGUCGAGCGGAUGAAGGGAGCUUGCUCCUGGAUUCAGCGGAGGACGGGUGAGUAAUGCCUAGGAAUCUGCCUGGUAGUAGGGGAUAACGUCCGGAAACGGGCGCUAAUACCGCAUACGUCCUGAGGGAGAAAGUGGGGGAUCUUCGGACCUCACGCUAUCAGAGGAGCCUAGGUCGGAUUAGCUAGUUGGUGGGGUAAAGGCCUACCAAGGCGACGAUCCGUAACUGGUCUGAGAGGAUGAUCAGUCACACUGGAACUGAGACACGGUCCAGACUCCUACGGGAGGCAGCAGUGGGGAAGAUUGGACAAGGGGCGAAAGCCUGAUCCAGCCAUGACGCGUGUGUGAAGAAGGUCUUCGGAUUGUAAAGCACUUUAAGUUGGGAGGAAGGGCAGUAAGUUAAUACCUUGCUGUUUUGACGUUACCAACAGAAUAAGCACCGGCUAACUUCGUG
Molecule: ribosomal RNA, 484 nt
Filed under: uncultured bacterium
Lineage: Bacteria
Description: partial 16S ribosomal RNA
Rfam family: Bacterial small subunit ribosomal RNA
Source: RNAcentral